Molecule: ribosomal RNA, 550 nt
Filed under: uncultured bacterium
Lineage: Bacteria
Description: bacterial SSU rRNA
Rfam family: Bacterial small subunit ribosomal RNA
Source: RNAcentral
UAGGGAAUCUUCGGCAAUGGACGGAAGUCUGACCGAGCAACGCCGCGUGAGUGAAGAAGGUUUUCGGAUCGUAAAGCUCUGCUGUAAGAGAAGAACGAGUGUGAGAGUGGAAAGUUCACACUGUGACGGUAUCUUACCAGAAAGGGACGGUUAACUACGUGCCAGCAGCCGCGGUAAUACGUAGGUCCCGAGCGUUGUCCGGAUUUAUUGGGCGUAAAGCGAGCGCAGGCGGUUAGAUAAGUCUGAAGUUAAAGGCUGUGGCUUAACCAUAGUAGGCUUUGGAAACUGUUUAACUUGAGUGCAAGAGGGGAGAGUGGAAUUCCAUGUGUAGCGGUGAAAUGCGUAGAUAUAUGGAGGAACACCGGUGGCGAAAGCGGCUCUCUGGCUUGUAACUGACGCUGAGGUUCGAAAGCGUGGGGAGCAAACAGGAUUAGAUACCCUGGUAGUCCACGCUGUAAACGAUGAGUGCUAGGUGUUAGACCCUUUCCGGGGUUUAGUGCCGUAGCUAACGCAUUAAGCACUCCGCCUGGGGAGUACGACCGCAAGGUUG